UAGGGAAUCUUCGGCAAUGGGGGGAACCCUGACCGAGCAACGCCGCGUGAGUGAAGAAGGUUUUCGGAUCGUAAAGCUCUGUUGUUAAGGAAGAACGAGUGUGAGAAUGGAAAGUUCAUGCUGUGACGGUACUUAACCAGAAAGGGACGGCUAACUACGUGCCAGCAGCCGCGGUAAUACGUAGGUCCCGAGCGUUGUCCGGAUUUAUUGGGCGUAAAGCGAGCGCAGGCGGUUAGAAAAGUCUGAAGUGAAAGGCAGUGGCUCAACCAUUGUAGGCUUUGGAAACUGUUUAACUUGAGUGCAGAAGGGGAGAGUGGAAUUCCAUGUGGAGCGGUGAAAUGCGUAGAUAUAUGGAGGAACACCGGUGGCGAAAGCGGCUCUCUGGUCUGUAACUGACGCGGAGGCUCGAAAGCGUGGGGAGCGAACAGG
RNAcentral lists this ribosomal RNA (429 nucleotides) under Bacteroidota bacterium. RNAcentral describes it as "Bacteroidetes bacterium partial 16S ribosomal RNA". It matches the Rfam family "Bacterial small subunit ribosomal RNA", at positions 355 to 776 of the family's 1533-position model. The record is from RNAcentral. Lineage: Bacteria; Pseudomonadati; Bacteroidota.